This 468-nucleotide ribosomal RNA is filed under the name uncultured bacterium. Its description in RNAcentral is "bacterial SSU rRNA". It matches the Rfam family "Bacterial small subunit ribosomal RNA", at positions 335 to 802 of the family's 1533-position model. The record is from RNAcentral.
ACUCCUACGGGAGGCAGCAGUGGGGAAUAUUGCACAAUGGGGAAACCCUGAUGCAGCCAUGCCGCGUGUGUGAAGAAGGCCUCGGUUGUAAGCACUUCAGUAGGAGGAAGGUAGUGUAGUUAACACCUGCACUAUUUGACGUUACCUACAGAAGAAGCACCGGCUAACUCCGUGCCAGCAGCCGCGGUAAUACGGAGGGGUGCGAGCGUUAAUCGGAAUUACUGGGCGUAAAGCGCAUGCAGGCGGCCUGUUAAGUCAGAUGUGAAAGCCCGGGGGCUUAACCUCGGAAUUGCAUUUGAAACUGGCAGGCUAGAGUCUUGUAGAGGGGGUAGAAUUUCAGGUGUAGCGGUGAAAUGCGUAGAGAUCUGAAGGAAUACCAGUGGCGAAGGCGGCCCCCUGGACAAAGACUGACGCUCAGAUGCGAAAGCGUGGGGAGCAAACAGGAUUAGAUACCCUGGUAGACUGUCA